GAUGAACGCUGGCUACAGGCUUAACACAUGCAAGUCGAGGGGAAACGACGGGGAAGCUUGCUUCCCCGGGCGUCGACCGGCGCACGGGUGAGUAACGCGUAUCCAACCUGCCUCUGACUGAGGGAUAACCCGUCGAAAGUCGGCCUAAUACCUCAUGGCAUCGUCUGCGGGCAUCCAACGACGAUUAAAGAUUUCAUCGGUCAGGGAUGGGGAUGCGUCUGAUUAGCUUGUUGGCGGGGUAACGGCCCACCAAGGCUACGAUCAGUAGGGGUUCUGAGAGGGAGGGCCCCCACAUUGGAACUGAGACACGGUCCAAACUCCUACGGGAGGCAGCAGUGAGGAAUAUUGGUCAAUGGGCGGGAGCCUGAACCAGCCAAGUAGCGUGCAGGAUGACGGCCCUAUGGGUUGUAAACUGCUUUUAUGCGGGGAUAAAGUGAGGGACGUGUCCUUCAUUGCAGGUACCGCAUGAAUAAGGACCGGCUAAUUCCGUG
RNAcentral lists this ribosomal RNA (491 nucleotides) under uncultured bacterium. RNAcentral's name for it is "partial 16S ribosomal RNA". It matches the Rfam family "Bacterial small subunit ribosomal RNA", at positions 28 to 507 of the family's 1533-position model. The record is from RNAcentral.